Molecule: ribosomal RNA, 406 nt
Filed under: uncultured bacterium
Lineage: Bacteria
Description: partial 16S ribosomal RNA
Rfam family: Bacterial small subunit ribosomal RNA
Source: RNAcentral
AUUGAACGCUGGCGGCAGGCCUAACACAUGCAAGUCGAACGAGUGGCGGACGGGUGAGUAAUGUCUGGGAAAAUGCCUGAUGGAGGGGGAUAACUACUGGAAACCGUAGCUAAUACCGCAUACCAUCAGAUGUGCCACGGUGGGAUUAGCGUGUUGGUGGGGUAACGGCUCACCAAGUCGACGAUCCCUAGCUGGUCUGAGAGGAUGACCAGCCACAAUGGAAGUGAGACACGGUCCAGACUCCUACGGGAGGCAGCAGUGGGGAAUAUUGCACAAUGGGCGAAAGCCUGAUGCAGCCAUGCCGCGUGUAUGAAGAAGGCCUUCGGGUUGUAAAGUACUUUCAGCGGGGAGGCGUUACCCGCAGAAGAAGCACCGGCUAACUCCGUGCCAGCAGCCGCGGUAAUUC